Molecule: ribosomal RNA, 253 nt
Filed under: uncultured bacterium
Lineage: Bacteria
Description: partial 16S ribosomal RNA
Rfam family: Bacterial small subunit ribosomal RNA
Source: RNAcentral
GACGAACCGUGCAAACGUUAUUCGGAAUCACUGGGCAUAAAGCGCACGUAGGCGGCACCGCAAGUGUGGGGUGAAAUCCCACGGCUUACCCGUGGAACUGCCUGGCAGACUGCGGUGCUAGAGGUUGGUAGGGGAGAGCGGAACUCUUGGUGGAGCGGUGAAAUGCGUAGAUAUCAAGAGGAACACCGGUGGCGAAGGCGGCUCUCUGGUCCAAUCCUGACGCUGAGGUGCGAAAGCUAGGGGAGCAAACGGG